UUGCCUACGGGACGCAGCAGUGGGGAAUAUUGCACAAUGGGGGAAACCCUGAUGCAGCGACGCCGCGUGAGUGAAGAAGUAAUUCGUUAUGUAAAGCUCUAUCAGCAGGGAAGAAAAUGACGGUACCUGAGUAAGAAGCCCCGGCUAACUACGUGCCAGCAGCCGCGGUAAUACGUAGGGGGCAAGCGUUAUCCGGAUUUAUUGGGUUUAAAGGGUGCGUAGGCGGUUUGAUAAGU
Molecule: ribosomal RNA, 236 nt
Filed under: uncultured bacterium
Lineage: Bacteria
Description: partial 16S ribosomal RNA
Rfam family: Bacterial small subunit ribosomal RNA
Source: RNAcentral